Molecule: ribosomal RNA, 344 nt
Filed under: uncultured bacterium
Lineage: Bacteria
Description: bacterial SSU rRNA
Rfam family: Bacterial small subunit ribosomal RNA
Source: RNAcentral
GACGAACGCUGGCGGCGUGCUUAACACAUGCAAGUCAGGGAGAACGGUGUCCUUCGGGAUGCCUAGUAAACCGGCAAACGGGUGAGUAACACGUAGGUAACUUGCCUUUGGGUUUGGGAGUAACCUCGCUAACGCGGGGGUAAUUCCGAAUAAUAGCAGCGGAUCCGCAUGGAUAUGUUGUUAAAGCGGCGAUGACUUGUCAUCGUCGCGCCUAAAGAUGGACCUGCGCCCCAUUAGCAGUUGGUGAGGUUACGGCUCACCAAGGCUGCGAUGGGUAGCCGGCCUGAGAGGGUGACCGGCACACUGGGACUGAGACACGGCCCAGACUCCUACGGGAGGCAGCA